UACGAAGGGGGCUAGCGUUGUUCGGAAUUACUGGGCGUAAAGGGCGCGUAGGCGGUGUGUCAAGUCAGGCGUGAAAGCCCCGGGCUCAACCUGGGAACAGCGCUUGAGACUGGCACGCUCGAGUUCGGGAGAGGAUGGUGGAAUUCCCAGUGUAGAGGUGAAAUUCGUAGAUAUUGGGAAGAACACCCGUGGCUAAGGCGGCUCUCUAGUACGGUACUGACGCUGAGACGCGAAAGCGUGGGGAGCGAACAGG
This 253-nucleotide ribosomal RNA is filed under the name uncultured bacterium. RNAcentral describes it as "partial 16S ribosomal RNA". It matches the Rfam family "Bacterial small subunit ribosomal RNA", at positions 524 to 776 of the family's 1533-position model. The record is from RNAcentral.